UGACAUGAUGAUCACCAUUACCAAUAAGCAUAGUUCAACUGAGGUCUUCGGAUCACUGAACGACAACCUUCUACCAUCUUUCGCUCCUAUCUGAUA
Molecule: small nucleolar RNA, 96 nt
Organism: Aspergillus clavatus NRRL 1
Lineage: Eukaryota; Fungi; Ascomycota; Eurotiomycetes; Eurotiales; Aspergillaceae
Rfam family: A. fumigatus snoRNA Afu_263
Source: Rfam